AUUAAGUACAGAAUUUCACAGAAUUUACAGAAUUUAACAAGGAAAACAUUUAAGUUUUAAAUAUUGAUGGAAAUUAAAAUUAAAAUUAAACACACAUUUUUAAAAUUUACGAGUUGGAAAGGUUUAAGGAGCAUUUCGAAUGCUUUAAAAGGUUAAAUUUGAGUAACAAACUCAAGACAUAUCGUAAUGAAAAACAAAUGAAAAAUUUUUGUAUACAGGUAGCACAAAAUUCUGGAAAAGAAGUAAAAAUGUUGGCACAAACAGGAAAUUUUGACGCAGGAAAAAUUGAAAAAUUCAAAAGGAAAAUCGCUGAAAUUUUUUUUUUUUUGUUAGGAAGAUCUCUCUUGAUGGGAAGGGGGGGGGGGGGAAAGAAAGUUUUAAACACGUUUUUUUAGUACCUCACCAAUCUUCACACUUCACACGUCUCCAAACGCGGGGAAAGUUUCUGUCGAAGGGGAGGGGCGUUCCACCAAUCUAUGUUUUAUUUGACCCAUAGAUAGGUCCUUGGGGUCAGGAGUGGCCAUGUGAAGCAAAAUUCGAGGCUCCAAUCGGGGAUUUCCCAGCAUGGUCUUCGAUUUUGGUGCUUCUGAAAGCAAUGGCGUCUGAAACUCUUUGCCGUCUUUGCGAUCUUUUUGCACUUUUUGGGUUCUCCGGGCCCAGCUGAGUGCGGAGAUUGCAAGUACGUCGUUGGGUUCGAUGAAAUUGGAGCGAGAUCUGAUGGAGUCUCAGCUCGUGAAGGUAAAUUUAUCUUGGUGGGGGGGGGGGGGGAUGAAAAUUGAAUUAUGGAAUUGGAAUUAUUCAUGUAUAUUCAUGAUUUCGAAAAGUAUUUUGAAUACUAACUUUGGUCAUGAGAGUUUCCCGCGCGUCUAGAGACUUGCGAGGCGCGAAGAUCAAUGAAGACUAAUAAUUUUUAAUAAGAUAUUUAAAAUGGUUAAUAACAAAAUAUUUGGAAUAAUGGGGGGGGGGGGGUUGUGUUUGCGCUUGUUAAUACGUCAUUUCCUGACUUCAUGUUUAAAAACUUGAUGCUAAUUUUCAUUCACUUACUUUCAUUCACUUAC
RNAcentral lists this long non-coding RNA (1058 nucleotides) under Bemisia tabaci. RNAcentral describes it as "lncRNA ENSSSA2NGG009818". Lineage: Eukaryota; Metazoa; Arthropoda; Insecta; Hemiptera; Aleyrodidae. The record is from RNAcentral.